Molecule: ribosomal RNA, 478 nt
Filed under: uncultured bacterium
Lineage: Bacteria
Description: bacterial SSU rRNA
Rfam family: Bacterial small subunit ribosomal RNA
Source: RNAcentral
GACGAACGCUGGCGGCGUGCUUAACACAUGCAAGUCGAACGAGAAUCUGUGGAAAGAGGAUUCGUCCAAUUGAAGCAGAGGACAGUGGCGGACGGGUGAGUAACGCGUGAGGAACCUGCCUUUCAGAGGGGGACAACAGUUGGAAACGACUGCUAAUACCGCAUAACAUAUAGAUGUCGCAUGGCAUUUAUAUCAAAGAUUUAUCGCUGAAAGAUGGCCUCGCGUCUGAUUAGCUAGUUGGUGAGGUAACGGCCCACCAAGGCGACGAUCAGUAGCCGGACUGAGAGGUUGAACGGCCACAUUGGGACUGAGAUACGGCCCAGACUCCUACGGGAGGCAGCAGUGGGGAAUAUUGGGCAAUGGGCGCAAGCCUGACCCAGCAACGCCGCGUGAAGGAAGAAGGCUUUCGGGUUGUAAACUUCUUUGUCAGGACGAGUAGAAGACGGUACCUGACGAAUAAGCCACGGCUAACUACGUG